This 301-nucleotide ribosomal RNA is filed under the name uncultured bacterium. RNAcentral's name for it is "partial 16S ribosomal RNA". It matches the Rfam family "Bacterial small subunit ribosomal RNA", at positions 509 to 808 of the family's 1533-position model. The record is from RNAcentral.
CAGCCGCCACGGUAAUACGUAGGGUGCAAGCGUUAAUCGGAAUUACUGGGCGUAAAGCGUGCGCAGGCGGUCCGCUAAGACAGAUGUGAAAUCCCCGGGCUUAACCUGGGAACUGCAUUUGUGACUGGCGGGCUAGAGUAUGGCAGAGGGGGGUAGAAUUCCACGUGUAGCAGUGAAAUGCGUAGAGAUGCGGAGGAACACCGAUGGCGAAGGCAAUCCCCUGGACCUGUACUGACGCUCAUGCACGAAAGCGUGGGGAGCAAACAGGAUUAGAGACCCCUGUAGUCCCUGUCUCUUUACA